RNAcentral lists this ribosomal RNA (58 nucleotides) under uncultured Russulaceae. RNAcentral's name for it is "partial 28S ribosomal RNA". The record is from RNAcentral. Lineage: Eukaryota; Fungi; Basidiomycota; Agaricomycetes; Russulales; Russulaceae.
ACCUCAAAUCGGGUGAGACUACCCGCUGAACUUAAGCAUAUCAAUAAGCCGGAGGAAA